This is a long non-coding RNA of Daphnia pulicaria, 1696 nucleotides long. RefSeq lists it as uncharacterized. The record is from RefSeq and is a predicted model, not a curated record. NCBI's taxonomy places the organism in Eukaryota, Metazoa, Arthropoda, Branchiopoda, Diplostraca, Daphniidae. The transcript has 8 exons.
UCUCAAUCCAUGGAAACCAGAAAUUUCGUUUGAGAAACAGUCCAAUGCUGACUAGAGAGACUAUGAUGUAGCCGCAGAAGAUACUGGGCAAUUCAAUAACGCUUUAUUUCUAAUUGAAAUUGUUAUCUAACCUUUAACGGAUUGAUUUCGUCGGCAAAGAAGAAUCCAAAAUCGUCAACAUACGAACCUGGCACGAUAUCCAUGCUGACACUAUUUCGCAGCUUGUGAUUGUCUGACAAAUAAUUUGAAAUGGAGCUGAUAGCCCAGGAAAACCAGACAGCGGACCAUUUCGACCCAUGGAAACCAGGGAUUUCGGUUGAACAUCAGUCCGAUGCUGACUAGAGAGACUAUGAUGUAGGCGCAGCAAGCGUAUAAAAGCCAGUCAUCAAAUUCCUGGAAAAAAGUAUCAGAAUUCAGUUAUUUUCCCUUUUAUAUUUAAUUAAUUUUACGACGAUACCUCGUAAUGGGUUGCUAGUAAUCGGUAACCUUCACUCAGUAAUAGGAAAUGAAUUGCAGCAUAUAUCUGGUCGUGUGGGAAUUCUAUGAAGAUACUUCAGGAAGUUGGUCAUAAUGGCCAAGCUUUGGGGAACCAGGAACCCAUCCGGGUCCAUAAAAGAUUGCUUUAAGCUUAUUGGUCAAUCCUGACAUGGAUUGCAUUUUUUGGAAGACUUUCCGCAGGUAAAACGGAUUAAAGGAGUCCACUUGCUCAAUCAAUCCGUAAACUAAAGGUUCGUCCCUUCGCUCGGGUUCAAAAGUUCCAAACAUUCUAUCCCAGAUAAUGAGAACACCGGCGUAAUUUUUAUCCACACAAUAACGGGUUGAUCCUAGAUCGUGUAAGGUGGUAAAUUUACACUCGUCAACAAUUUAAAGGUAUUUGUAAAUACCAUGAUGCACACGAUGAUGUGAAGGAGUAUUUAAAAUCCAUUCAAGCGGACCAAGGUCAUCGAUAACUUCCGUGUGAAUCCAGAAUUGAAAUAGAAGAUUAAAUUGAGAGUGAACGAAGAAUUGACUCGGAGGAAUGAAAAACGCCAUUGGCAGGCUUAUACCAUGAGUUGCACGGUGAGCCCAGUAAUAUCCUAAAUCCAUCCCUAUAGCGCAAGCAACCCAUGUCCACAAUGAAUCCCAGGGAAACUCAUAUAUGCGGUAGUACUCGUAAAUGUAAACAUACGCAGCAGUAGUAGCGCCUCUCAAGGCAAUACUAUUUAAAAAGACCGUUUAAAAUCUUGGGAAAACAACAAAACAUGUGGUGAUUUGCCUUUUUUACGCAGUAUAAUUCGUUCAAUUACAAUCAGAGCAAAAAACCACGUUGAGGCCUGCAAGUUAAUGAUACAAUAAAUGAGUAACUUACCCGACUAACAUAAUGAGGCACCUCAUCCGUGGUUCGAAAACUUGUCUAAAAGUUGCAAGAAAACCAUUAACUUUGUUCUACAAUUCUACCUUGAACUAUCCCUAACCUGAAAAGGAUUAACAAUAUAAAAAAGGUGACCUAAGCCUUCGAAUGCCUCCGAAAUGAAAUCCAUGAACGGUAGAAAUCUGCUGGUUCGACGUUUAUGCAACUCAAUUCUUUUCUGAAUCCCAACCGCGAUUCUCAGUGAUCAAAAGGCGUCCUUAAAUACCAUCGCAUGUUUUUGUUUAUCAGCUACUUUUGAGAUAAGAGCAAUAGAAGCCAAAGUUCAAUAAAUAUCAAUCAUCCGUC